UCGUAUAUUAUCGUGUAGCUCGCAAUCAGUAUAUACAAGUUUUCAUUAUUGUUUUAUGUCGGAACGUUUACGGUAACAGUACGGUAAUGUGGUAACAGUGAUUUGACGUCCGCCCACCGCACUGUACGCUUUCACUGCGCAAGAGCAAUAUGGAAAGUCAGUGGAAACAUUCGGUUUUAUAUUUCGAAAAAUAAGGAAUAGAAAAAAAUGUUACCAAUGCUUCAGACGCGAUUAAAACUCUAAAUUAAUGUAAAUUCGUGUGUGAUUUGUGUAAACAUACGAACCGACAAUUCAAUUAUUUCACAUAUAAUUGAUAGUAUGGCUGACAUCUUUUGUAGUUUUCUUUAUAUACAUAAUCAUUAUUUUUGACCACAGCAGCCAAUCUCUAAAACUUAAAAGCCGAUUUAAAGCGCAAAAACAACUUGAUGAAUUCCUUUACUCGCAUAGUGCAGAGAGAAGUAUGAACCAGAACAAACGUAAGGUCUUACUAACUUCCAGAGGCACAGGAGUGUAACAAAAUUAGUAAUCAAUCACAAUUAAUAAUGAUUAACAACCAACAUAACGAAUCUUAAAAUCGCUUAAGGAUCGGAGCCGCCUGCUGGACAAAUUUAGUUUGAUUACAGUGCUUAAUACAUCAAGUGAAAUUCGAAUAACAUUGUUAUAUCAGUAACAAUAGUUACGAAAUGCAAGAUCAGACAGGAGUUACUAGGAAAUUAAUUAUAUUCUAAUUGGAAUCUUAACAAUGUCUUAAUAGCUCAACAACUUAUGAACUAGCGGAUCUCUGGUUCGUUUUUAACUUUGAACUGAUAUUUCACCUCGUUUAUAAUAAUUAAUUAUUUAACGAAAUCACUUGAAUUAAUAGGUUAAAGUGAGUCAUGGAUAUAAAUAGAAUAAUAGUGAUGACGAUGGCAUUAAUGAUAGUUGAAUGACAUGAAUGAGUCAUGUCAUUCAA
Vanessa atalanta (red admiral) is the source of this 952-nucleotide long non-coding RNA. RefSeq lists it as uncharacterized. The record is from RefSeq and is a predicted model, not a curated record. NCBI's taxonomy places the organism in Eukaryota, Metazoa, Arthropoda, Insecta, Lepidoptera, Nymphalidae. The transcript has 3 exons.